RNAcentral lists this unclassified non-coding RNA (240 nucleotides) under Hevea brasiliensis (rubber tree). The record is from RNAcentral. Lineage: Eukaryota; Viridiplantae; Streptophyta; Magnoliopsida; Malpighiales; Euphorbiaceae.
AGAGAUCUUUUCUCCAUCAUCUCUUUGAGUUCACAUAGUAACUCAAUACCACUUGUGUCUAUAGCUGUAACAGCUGUCAUGUCUAGAAUUAUGCAUUUAAGUGCACUUCCAUUAUUUGCUUUUAUCCUCUCUUCUUCCUCACGAACCCACCUUAGUAUCCUUUCUUGGAGGUAAGUAGAGUUUGCGAAGUAGAUCGGGGACUCAAUAGCCAGCAUGAGAAAUGAAGGAACUCUUAGAGCU